RNAcentral lists this ribosomal RNA (253 nucleotides) under uncultured bacterium. RNAcentral's name for it is "partial 16S ribosomal RNA". It matches the Rfam family "Bacterial small subunit ribosomal RNA", at positions 524 to 776 of the family's 1533-position model. The record is from RNAcentral.
UACGUAGGGGGCAAGCGUUGUCCGGAUUUAUUGGGCGUAAAGAGCGUGUAGGCGGCCUGACAGGUCUGCUGUGAAAACUCGAGGCUCAACCUCGAGAUGUCGGCGGAAACCGUCUGGCUAGAGUCCGGAAGAGGAGAGUGGAAUUCCUGGUGUAGCGGUGAAAUGCGCAGAUAUCAGGAGGAACACCGGUGGCGAAGGCGGUUCUCUGGGCCUGUACUGACGCUGAGGAGCGAAAGCGUGGGGAGCGAACAGG